Molecule: ribosomal RNA, 439 nt
Filed under: uncultured bacterium
Lineage: Bacteria
Description: bacterial SSU rRNA
Rfam family: Bacterial small subunit ribosomal RNA
Source: RNAcentral
AGCGAACGCUGGCGGCAGGCUUAACACAUGCAAGUCGAACGGGCACUUCGGUGCUAGUGGCAGACGGGUGAGUAACACGUGGGAACGUACCUUUCGGUUCGGAAUAAUACAGGGAAACUUGUACUAAUACCGGAUACGCCCUUCGGGGAAGAUUUAUCGCCGAUAGAUCGGCCCGCGUCUGAUUAGCUAGUUGGUGAGGUAAUGGCUCACCAAGGCGACGAUCAGUAGCUGGUCUGAGAGGAUGAUCAGCCACACUGGGACUGAGACACGGCCCAGACUCCUACGGGAGGCAGCAGUGGGAAUAUUGGACAAUGGGCGAAAGCCUGAUCCAGCCAUGCCGCGUGUGUGAUGAAGGCUAGGGUUGUAAGCACUUUGUCCGGGAAGAUAAUGACUGUACCGGAAGAAUAAGCCCGGCUAACUUCGUGCCAGCAGCCGCGGU